UGGGGAAUAUUGCGCAAUGGGCGAAAGCCUGACGCAGCGACGCCGCGUGCGGGAUGACGGCCUUCGGGUUGUAAACCGCUUUUACUGGGGAGCAAGCUUUUUUGGUGAGUGUACUUGGUGAAUAAGCACCGGCUAACUACGUGCCAGCAGCCGCGGUAAUACGUAGGGUGCAAGCGUUAUCCGGAUUUAUUGGGCGUAAAGGGCUCGUAGGCGGUUCGUCGCGUCUGGUGUGAAAGUCCAUCGCUUAACGGUGGAUCUGCGUCGGGUACGGGCGGGCUAGAGUGCGGUAGGGGAGACUGGAAUUCCCGGUGUAACGGUGGAAUGUGUAGAUAUCGGGAAGAACACCAAUGGCGAAGGCAGGUCUCUGGGCCGUUACUGACGCUGAGGAGCGAAAGCGUGGGGAGCGAACAGG
Molecule: ribosomal RNA, 412 nt
Filed under: uncultured bacterium
Lineage: Bacteria
Description: bacterial SSU rRNA
Rfam family: Bacterial small subunit ribosomal RNA
Source: RNAcentral